RNAcentral lists this ribosomal RNA (194 nucleotides) under uncultured bacterium. Its description in RNAcentral is "partial 16S ribosomal RNA". It matches the Rfam family "Bacterial small subunit ribosomal RNA", at positions 338 to 524 of the family's 1533-position model. The record is from RNAcentral.
CCUACGGGAGGCAGCAGUGGGGAAUUUUGGACAAUGGGGGCAACCCUGAUCCAGCCAUGCCGCGUGUGUGAAGAAGGCCUUCGGGUUGUAAAGCACUUUUGUUGGGGAAGAAACCGGCCGGGUUAAUACCCUGGUUGAAUGACGGUACCCAAAGAAGAAGCACCGGCUAACUUCGUGCCAGCAGCCGCGGUAAU